This 433-nucleotide ribosomal RNA is filed under the name uncultured bacterium. Its description in RNAcentral is "partial 16S ribosomal RNA". It matches the Rfam family "Bacterial small subunit ribosomal RNA", at positions 29 to 507 of the family's 1533-position model. The record is from RNAcentral.
AACGAACGCUGGCGGCAGGCUUAAUACAUGCAAGUCGAGCGGGCACUUCGGUGUCAGCGGCGCACGGGUGCGUAACGCGUGGGAACAUGCCUUUAGGUACGGAACAACCAAGGGAAACUUUGGCUAAUACCGUAUAAUAUCUCUGGAUCAAAGAUUUAUCGCCUAAAGAUUGGCCCGCGUUAGAUUAGGUAGUUGGUGGGGUAAUGGCCUACCAAGCCGACGAUCUAUAGGGGGUCUGAGAGGAUGAUCCCCCACACUGGAACUGAGACACGGUCCAGACUCCUACGGGAGGCAGCAGUAAGGAAUAUUGGACAAUGGGCGAAAGCCUGAUCCAGCCAUGACGCGUGAGUGAUGAAGGCCUUAGGGUUGUAAAGCUCUUUUAGAUGGGAAGAUAAUGACUGUACCAUCAGAAUAAGCCCCGGCUAAAUUCGUG